Molecule: unclassified non-coding RNA, 378 nt
Filed under: plant metagenome
Description: partial contains 5.8S ribosomal RNA, internal transcribed spacer 2, and large subunit ribosomal RNA
Rfam family: 5.8S ribosomal RNA (bases 1-105)
Source: RNAcentral
GAAAUGCGAUAAGUAAUGUGAAUUGCAGAAUUCAGUGAAUCAUCGAAUCUUUGAACGCACCUUGCGCUCCUUGGUAUUCCUUGGAGCAUGCCUGAUUGAGUAUCAUGAAAUCUUCAAAGUAAAUCUUUUGUUAACUCAAUUGGUUUCUACUUUGGUAUUGGAGGUCUUUGCAGCUUCACACCUGCUCCUCUUUGUUCAUUAGCUGGAUCUCAGUGUUAUGCUUGGUUCCACUCGGCGUGAUAAGUUAUCUAUCGCUGAGUACACUGUAAAAGGUGGCCAAGGUAAAUGCAGAUGAACCGCUUCUAAUAGUCCAUUGACUUGGACAAUACUUUUAUGAUCUGAUCUCAAAUCAGGUAGGACUACCCGCUGAACUUAAGC